AUUGAACCAAAGGAUGGGCUGCAGGCUACACGGAACCGCUUAGGGCUUUGGAAACUCUGAGGAAAGCCAAAUAGUGACGUGACUUCACCAUGGAAUCUGCUAAAGAGAAUCCCAUGAGUAUUUCAGUGACAGAAUCCACUCAGGAGAGUUGGGGCAAAGCUGGCCAAGGUUGUGAAGGAGCUGAGUUCUGAGUUCAGGUAUCCAUAUGGCAGUGGAAUGAAUGAUGCCUCCUGUCCCUUGAGAGCUUUGAGACGUCUGGGAGGUCCUAGAAAUCUCUUCGAAUCUCCAGUCCAGGACACAACUGCCUAGGGGAAUUCCAGGGACAGGCGGCAGAGAUUGCAUGGCCUGCAAGGUGAUGGACUCCAAUGUGAUCACUGAAGGAUCCACCAAAUUGCAAACCACUGACAGUUCCAGUGCCCAAACCCCCUUCUGGAGAGGAGACGAGAGAAGCAAGCUAGGAGGCCCAUUACUUGGCUAGAGAGCUGAUGGACCACUACUCGGGUCUCCUGCAAGUUGCUGAAAUGCUGUGAGGAAACUGUCAUCGCUCACAGGAUGGAAUCAAGAAGCUCGGAGAAUUGAACUAUGCCGGAAAUACUUCAGACUGAGGUCCUGGGACCCCAGUUCUGAAUCUGAUUGUCUCCCCUCCCUCCCUCUCUCCCUCCCUCCUUCUUUCCUUCCCUCUCCUAUAUUUCUUUUUUCUUGACUUGGGGAAUUGUAAACAUGAACUGCUUUAAUAGGUAUAACUUUGUUCCCAAAUUAGAUGUUACUCUAGACAUGUUACUAGAAACUUAGGAGAGUCCUACCAAAGUCACUGCCUGUCACCUGGGGAAUCAGGGUAGGCCUGUGGAGCAUUUAAGUCCCAUUAAUAAAAAUAAUAUAAGAACCGACUCAAAAGAAGUUUAAGGAUGUUUGUUAUUAGCAUUACACACACACACACACACACACACACACACACACACACACACACAGAGGAGAAGGUAAAAGGAAUCUCAGCAGCUGCCCAGAGGUGGAAGAUGGAGAGAGAGACAACCCAGCCAUGAAGCUUAAGUUAAGGCAACAUGAAGGUCAGCCAAUGGCAACCAAGCAGCCACAUGGGGGCGGGGCUUUAAAGGAAGAGUGAAGGCUGAAGUGCUCGGAAGGAGAUGGAGAGAACAGAAGAGUCCAGUGGCUUUCUGCGUAGUUCAGAAAGGCAGAAGGCACUCUUUCUAAGUUGCCUGGCUACAGCUUUGUGAGGGACUGCUCUAGAGAGGGAGGUUCUAGAGAGGAAAACACACUGUUAUCUCAUUAAAGGGCUAAUUAUUCCUCUUAUCUCUCUAAGAGUUAAGGUAGUCCUGCCUUCCCAAGGCACAGUCAGGUCACAUACCCUGAUGAUUGACCUGCUCAGCUGGGAUGUUGGGUAUCUACCCAAGCCCCUUUCUGGAAACAGUUUUCCCUUAAUUUCCCUCUGCUGCCUCUGAAACAAACAGAUUCUGUUCCUGGAGGUUUCCUGAACUGAGGUCUCAGUCUAGGGAGUAAACGGGGCCAUGUGGUUGCAUUAGCAUAGUUCUUAUCUUUAGGUUAAAAAUUCAUGUCCUUUAUGUUUUCUCAAGUUUGGAUUCAGGUGAUGGCAUAGAGGAGCCACGUUGCUUAGCUACCAAAGACUUCUUUAACUGUGGCACCAGCUAUGCUUAAAACACAGUCAAGCAUGUGUUACACCAGGGGCUGGUGUGAGUUGUUUGCUAUGAAUGUUGAACUACAAAGAAACAUACGUCUCACAGUCUGAGACUUAGGUUCCCUCUGAUCCUGCAGCUGGGACAGUAGACAAUGUUUUAAAUAUCAAAAGUGGCUUUCAAUGGCUUUGAAUCUUUUUGGGCAAUUUGGGGUGGUUUUGCACUGCCAGUUUCUUAGGUCAAGUAGGAAUAAGAGAUCAACGGCCUUCCUGACUGCAUUGUUCAGGCCUCUGUGGAUAUGGAAGCGCUAAAGAAAGGGAAGGCGUCCUCAGUGGGGUUUGCAAGUGGGGACGUUUCUGUGUCUGUCCUGGAACUGUGUCUGCCUUACAAUAAAAUACCUUGGUUGACUCAGCAAUAAAGUCUCUG
This 2075-nucleotide long non-coding RNA is filed under the name Cricetulus griseus (Chinese hamster). RNAcentral's name for it is "lncRNA (ENSCGRG00000025635.1)". Lineage: Eukaryota; Metazoa; Chordata; Mammalia; Rodentia; Cricetidae. The record is from RNAcentral.